Molecule: long non-coding RNA, 1328 nt
Filed under: Equus asinus (donkey)
Lineage: Eukaryota; Metazoa; Chordata; Mammalia; Perissodactyla; Equidae
Description: lncRNA (ENSEASG00005030477.1)
Source: RNAcentral
AGUCUCCCUUUCCUAACCCUCACGGAAGUUUCCCACAGCCUGCAGCAGUCCUUCUUGUAGCCAGCCAAUCUCGCCCAGCUCCACUCCACCAGCAGCCCGUCAGGAGGAGCCUGGGCCAUCUCCGGCAGUGACCAGACUGUGUCCUGAGACCUUCAGCCUCCUCCUUCUCCCACUCUCUGUUUCUCCAACUGGCUGUUCCCUGCCUCCCUCCCGGCCCAGCCUCCCAUGGCCCUGUGGACCUGACACGUGGACUCGCCCUCCUGGGCAUGGCCCCGUGCUCACCUCCCGGCUCACCGUCUGCACCUGCCCCUCAGCCUUCGCCAGCCCCCUGCCUCUCAGGGGAGGCACCGCGUCCUGACGCAGCCCCGCUUCCUGCCCGCUCUUCGCCCCAGCAUGGAGCAAGCCCACGGUUGCUUUACCGGAACUUUUCAGCCACCCUGCAAAGACGAAGUGUGUCUGAGGCUGUGGUUUAAAACCGGGUUGGGGGCCCAGAGCAGCUGCGCAGGAAGCGAGGCUGCUUUUCCAUGAGUUCCCUGGCCAGAGCGUGGUUUCACCUCGGCCCCUUCCUCCCAGGCCUCCAGGGCUACAGCGAGGUUCUUGUUUUGCUGGACCUGUGACACCUGAACACCAAGGGCAUCCACACACGACCAGCGAAGUCCCUUCUCCCUCUGAAGCGCGUGGCAUUAGGAUAUUGGGAAGCCGUAUUAGGCUAUGCUCUGAUGAUGGGCCUGUAAGGAUGUACUCUCACCCCUAUGUGGGCCACAACUCAUUGGCUUCCUGGAGAAACAGCACAUUUCUCAAUCAAAACCUUGGACCUGAGCAGGAAUGCCUAAAGAAGGGAGCCUUCAGAGCAAAGACCAAGGUAUCCUGAAGAAGAAGGAAUUCUGCCUCAAGACUGCAAUCAAGAAAUUCUGCCUGGGCCUGGCCAGGUGGUACAGCAGUUAAGUUCACACAUUCCGCUUCUCGGCAGCCCAGUGUUCGCCAGUUCAGAUCCCGGGUGCAGACAUGGCACCGCUUGGCAAAAAGCCAUGCUGUGGUAGACGUCCCAUGUAUAAAAUAGAGGAAGAUGGGCAUGGAUGUUAGCUCAGGGCCAGUCUUCCUCAGCAAAAAGAGGAAGAUUGGCAGUAGUUAGCUCAGGGCUAAUCUUCCUCAAAAAACAAAAACAAAAACACAGAAAUUGUGCCUGAGUUUUCAGCCUUUGCACUCAACACCACAAUAUCAACUCUUACCUGAAGCUCCAGCCUGCCAGUUUGUCCUGCGAACUUUGGAUUUGCCAGUCCUCACAAUCUUGUGAGUUAAUUCCUUAAAAUAAAUCCAUCUAAAUAAAU